GGGGGAUAUUGCACAAUGGACGGAAGUCUGAUGCAGCGACGCCGCGUGAGGGAAGAAGGUCUUCGGAUUGUAAACCUCUGUCCUCUGGGACGAACGGGCGACUUUAGUCGCUUCUUGACGGUACCUUAUUAGAAAGCCACGGCUAACUACGUGCCAGCAGCCGCGGUAAUACGUAGGUGGCAAGCGUUGUCCGGAAUUAUUGGGCGUAAAGCGCGCGCAGGUGGUUUCUUAAGUCUGAUGUGAAAGCCCACGGCUUAACCGUGGAGGGUCAUUGGAAACUGGGAGACUUGAGUGCAGAAGAGGAAAGUGGAAUUCCAAGUGUAGCGGUGAAAUGCGUAGAGAUUUGGAGGAACACCAGUGGCGAAGGCGACUUUCUGGUCUGCAACUGACGCUGAGGCGCGAAAGCAUGGGGAGCAAACA
Molecule: ribosomal RNA, 420 nt
Filed under: uncultured Rummeliibacillus sp.
Lineage: Bacteria; Bacillati; Bacillota; Bacilli; Caryophanales; Caryophanaceae
Description: bacterial SSU rRNA
Rfam family: Bacterial small subunit ribosomal RNA
Source: RNAcentral